UCGGGAUAGCUCAGCUGGUAGAGCAGAGGACUGAAAAUCCUCCGUGUCCC
Molecule: transfer RNA, 50 nt
Filed under: Gilbertiodendron ogoouense
Lineage: Eukaryota; Viridiplantae; Streptophyta; Magnoliopsida; Fabales; Fabaceae
Also listed under: 1 other name
Description: partial tRNA-Phe
Source: RNAcentral